RNAcentral lists this ribosomal RNA (890 nucleotides) under Fructilactobacillus sanfranciscensis. Its description in RNAcentral is "bacterial SSU rRNA". It matches the Rfam family "Bacterial small subunit ribosomal RNA", at positions 382 to 1266 of the family's 1533-position model. The record is from RNAcentral. Lineage: Bacteria; Bacillati; Bacillota; Bacilli; Lactobacillales; Lactobacillaceae.
UCUGAUGGAGCACGCCGCGUGAGUGAAGAAGGGUUUCGGCUCGUAAAACUCUGUUGUUAGAGAAGAACAGCCGUGAGAGCAACUGCUCACGGUAUGACGGUAUCUAACCAGAAAGUCACGGCUAACUACGUGCCAGCAGCCGCGGUAAUACGUAGGUGGCAAACGUUGUCCGGAUUUAUUGGGCGUAAAGGGAGCGCAGGCGGUUUAUUAAGUCUGAUGUGAAAGCCUUCGGCUUAACCGGAGAAGUGCAUCGGAAACUGAUAAACUUGAGUGCAGAAAAGGAUAGUGGAACUUCAUGUGUAGCGGUGAAAUGCGUAGAUAUAUGAAGGAACACCAGUGGCGAAGGCGGCUAUCUGGUCUGUAACUGACGCUGAGGCUCGAAAGCAUGGGUAGCAAACAGGAUUAGAUACCCUGGUAGUCCAUGCCGUAAACGAUGAAUGCUAGGUGUUGGAAGGUUUCCGCCUUUCAGUGCCGCAGCUAACGCAUUAAGCAUUCCGCCUGGGGAGUACGACCGCAAGGUUGAAACUCAAAGGAAUUGACGGGGACCCGCACAAGCGGUGGAGCAUGUGGUUUAAUUCGAUGCUACGCGAAGAACCUUACCAGGACUUGACAUCUUCUGCCAAUCUAAGAGAUUAGACGUUCCCUUCGGGGACAGAAUGACAGGUGGUGCAUGGUUGUCGUCAGCUCGUGUCGUGAGAUGUUGGGUUAAGUCCCGCAACGAGCGCAACCCUUGUCUUUAGUUGCCAGCAUUAAGUUGGGCACUCUAGAGAGACUGCCGGUGAUAAACCGGAGGAAGGUGGGGAUGACGUCAAAUCAUCAUGCCCCUUAUGUCCUGGGCUACACACGUGCUACAAUGGGCGAUACAACGAGUUGCGAAACCGCGAGGUCAA